GGGUUGUGAGGUUAAGCGACUAAGCGUACACGGUGGAUGCCCUGGCAGUCAGAGGCGAUGAAGGGCGUGCUAAUCUGCGAUAAGCGCCGGUAAGGUGAUAUGAACCGUUAUAACCGGCGAUACCCGAAUGGGGAAACCCAGUGUGAUUCGUCACACUAUCAUUAACUGAAUCCAUAGGUUAAUGAGGCGAACCGGGGGAACUGAAACAUCUAAGUACCCCGAGGAAAAGAAAUCAACCGAGAUUCCCCCAGUAGCGGCGAGCGAACGGGGAGGAGCCCAGAGCCUGAAUCAGCAUGUGUGUUAGUGGAAGCGUCUGGAAAGGCGCGCGAUACAGGGUGACAGCCCCGUACACAAAAGCGCAUGUGCUGUGAGCUCGAUGAGUAGGGCGGGACACGUGGUAUCCUGUCUGAAUAUGGGGGGACCAUCCUCCAAGGCUAAAUACUCCUGACUGACCGAUAGUGAACCAGUACCGUGAGGGAAAGGCGAAAAGAACCCCGGCGAGGGGAGUGAAAAAGAACCUGAAACCGUGUACGUACAAGCNNNNNNNNNNNNNNNNNNNNNNNNNNNNNNNNNNNNNNUUGUAUAAUGGGUCAGCGACUUAUAUUCUGUAGCAAGGUUAACCGAAUAGGGGAGCCGGAGGGAAACCGAGUCUUAAUUGGGCGUUAAGUUGCAGGGUAUAGACCCGAAACCCGGUGAUCUAGCCAUGGGCAGGUUGAAGGUUGGGUAACACUAACUGGAGGACCGAACCGACUAAUGUUGAAAAAUUAGCGGAUGACCUGUGGCUGGGGGUGAAAGGCCAAUCAAACCGGGAGAUAGCUGGUUCUCCCCGAAAGCUAUUUAGGUAGCGCCUCGUGAAUUCAUCUCCGGGGGUAGAGCACUGUUUCGGCUAGGGGGCCAUCCCGGCUUACCAACCCGAUGCAAACUGCGAAUACCGGAGAAUGUUAUCACGGGAGACACACGGCGGGUGCUAACGUCCGUCGUGAAGAGGGAAACAACCCAGACCGCCAGCUAAGGUCCCAAAGUCAUGGUUAAGUGGGAAACGAUGUGGGAAGGCCCAGACAGCCAGGAUGUUGGCUUAGAAGCAGCCAUCAUUUAAAGAAAGCGUAAUAGCUCACUGGUCGAGUCGGCCUGCGCGGAAGAUGUAACGGGGCUAAACCAUGCACCGAAGCUGCGGCAGCGACACUGUGUGUUGUUGGGUAGGGGAGCGUUCUGUAAGCCUGUGAAGGUGUGUCGUGAGGCAUGCUGGAGGUAUCAGAAGUGCGAAUGCUGACAUAAGUAACGAUAAAGCGGGUGAAAAGCCCGCUCGCCGGAAGACCAAGGGUUCCUGUCCAACGUUAAUCGGGGCAGGGUGAGUCGACCCCUAAGGCGAGGCCGAAAGGCGUAGUCGAUGGGAAACGGGUUAAUAUUCCCGUACUUGGUGUUACUGCGAAGGGGGGACGGAGAAGGCUAUGUUGGCCGGGCGACGGUUGUCCCGGUUUAAGCGUGUAGGUGUGUGUUCCAGGUAAAUCCGGUUCACUUUAACACUGAGGCGUGACGACGAGGCACUACGGUGCUGAAGCAACAAAUGCCCUGCUUCCAGGAAAAGCCUCUAAGCAUCAGGUAACAUCAAAUCGUACCCCAAACCGACACAGGUGGUCAGGUAGAGAAUACCAAGGCGCUUGAGAGAACUCGGGUGAAGGAACUAGGCAAAAUGGUGCCGUAACUUCGGGAGAAGGCACGCUGACACGUAGGUGAAGUGAUUUACUCAUGGAGCUGAAGUCAGUCGAAGAUACCAGCUGGCUGCAACUGUUUAUUAAAAACACAGCACUGUGCAAACACGAAAGUGGACGUAUACGGUGUGACGCCUGCCCGGUGCCGGAAGGUUAAUUGAUGGGGUCAGCGCAAGCGAAGCUCCUGAUCGAAGCCCCGGUAAACGGCGGCCGUAACUAUAACGGUCCUAAGGUAGCGAAAUUCCUUGUCGGGUAAGUUCCGACCUGCACGAAUGGCGUAAUGAUGGCCAGGCUGUCUCCACCCGAGACUCAGUGAAAUUGAACUCGCUGUGAAGAUGCAGUGUACCCGCGGCAAGACGGAAAGACCCCGUGAACCUUUACUAUAGCUUGACACUGAACAUUGAGCCUUGAUGUGUAGGAUAGGUGGGAGGCUUUGAAGUGUGGACGCCAGUCUGCAUGGAGCCGACCUUGAAAUACCACCCUUUAAUGUUUGAUGUUCUAACGUGGACCCGUUACCCGGGUUGCGGACAGUGUCUGGUGGGUAGUUUGACUGGGGCGGUCUCCUCCUAAAGAGUAACGGAGGAGCACGAAGGUUGGCUAAUCCUGGUCGGACAUCAGGAGGUUAGUGCAAUGGCAUAAGCCAGCUUGACUGCGAGCGUGACGGCGCGAGCAGGUGCGAAAGCAGGUCAUAGUGAUCCGGUGGUUCUGAAUGGAAGGGCCAUCGCUCAACGGAUAAAAGGUACUCCGGGGAUAACAGGCUGAUACCGCCCAAGAGUUCAUAUCGACGGCGGUGUUUGGCACCUCGAUGUCGGCUCAUCACAUCCUGGGGCUGAAGUAGGUCCCAAGGGUAUGGCUGUUCGCCAUUUAAAGUGGUACGCGAGCUGGGUUUAGAACGUCGUGAGACAGUUCGGUCCCUAUCUGCCGUGGGCGCUGGAGAACUGAGGGGGGCUGCUCCUAGUACGAGAGGACCGGAGUGGACGCAUCACUGGUGUUCGGGUUGUCAUGCCAAUGGCACUGCCCGGUAGCUAAAUGCGGAAGAGAUAAGUGCUGAAAGCAUCUAAGCACGAAACUUGCCCCGAGAUGAGUUCUCCCUGAGACUUAGAGUCUCCUGAAGGAACGUUGAAGACGACGACGUUGAUAGGCCGGGUGUGUAAGCGCAGCGAUGCGUUGAGCUAACCGGUACUAAUGAACCGUGAGGCUUAACCUUACAACGCCGAAG
Molecule: ribosomal RNA, 2928 nt
Filed under: Salmonella enterica subsp. enterica serovar Enteritidis str. SA20094301
Lineage: Bacteria; Pseudomonadati; Pseudomonadota; Gammaproteobacteria; Enterobacterales; Enterobacteriaceae
Description: bacterial LSU rRNA
Rfam family: Bacterial large subunit ribosomal RNA
Source: RNAcentral